This 72-nucleotide transfer RNA is filed under the name Stegodyphus mimosarum. It matches the Rfam family "tRNA". From Rfam's summary of the family: Transfer RNA (tRNA) molecules are approximately 80 nucleotides in length. Their secondary structure includes four short double-helical elements and three loops (D, anti-codon, and T loops). Lineage: Eukaryota; Metazoa; Arthropoda; Arachnida; Araneae; Eresidae. The record is from Rfam by way of RNAcentral.
GCCUUCGUGGUGUAACGGUUAGCACACUCGGCGCGUAUUCGAGAGGUCCAGGUUCGAGUCCCGGUCAGGACA